CCAAUAGCGUAUAUUAAAGUUGUUGCAGUUAAAAAGCUCGUAGUUGAAUUUCGGGAUUAGUACGUUGGUCGUGCCUUGGUACGUACUGGUGUAACUGAUUCCUCCCUUCUGACGAACCGUUAUGCCAUUAAUUUGGUGUGGCGGGAAAUCAGGACUGUUACUUUGAAAAAAUUAGAGUGUUUAAAGCAGGCUCGCGCUUGAAAAAAUUAGCAUGGAAUAAUGAAAUAGGACGUUAAUCCUAUUUUGUUUGUUUCUAGGAUCGACGUAAUGAUUAAUAGGGAUAGUUGGGGGCAUUAGUAUUCAAUUGUCAGAGGUGAAAUUCUUUGAUUUAUUGAAGACUAACUACUGCGAAAGCAUUUGCCAAGGAUGUUUUCAUUAAUCAAGAACGAAAGUUAGGGGAUCGAAGACGAUCAGAUACCGUCGUAGUCUUAACCAUAAACUAUUCCGACUAGGGAUCGGAUGAUGUUAAUUUUUUAAUGACUCAUUCGGCGCCUUACG
RNAcentral lists this unclassified non-coding RNA (498 nucleotides) under uncultured Glomus. RNAcentral describes it as "SSU rRNA". It matches the Rfam family "Eukaryotic small subunit ribosomal RNA", at positions 591 to 1092 of the family's 1831-position model. Lineage: Eukaryota; Fungi; Glomeromycota; Glomeromycetes; Glomerales; Glomeraceae. The record is from RNAcentral.